RNAcentral lists this ribosomal RNA (451 nucleotides) under uncultured bacterium. RNAcentral describes it as "bacterial SSU rRNA". It matches the Rfam family "Bacterial small subunit ribosomal RNA", at positions 28 to 492 of the family's 1533-position model. The record is from RNAcentral.
GACGAACGCUGGCGGCGCGCCUAACACAUGCAAGUCGAACGGAGCAUUGAGAGCUUGCUUUUAAUGCUUAGUGGCGAACGGGUGAGUAACGCGUGAGUAACCUGCCCUGGAGUGGGGGACAACAGUUGGAAACGACUGCUAAUACCGCAUAAGCCCACGAUCCGGCAUCGGAUUGAGGGAAAAGGAUUUAUUCGCUUCAGGAUGGACUCGCGUCCAAUUAGCUAGUUGGUGAGGUAACGGCCCACCAAGGCGACGAUUGGUAGCCGGACUGAGAGGUUGAACGGCCACAUUGGGACUGAGACACGGCCCAGACUCCUACGGGAGGCAGCAGUGGGGGAUAUUGCACAAUGGGGGAAACCCUGAUGCAGCGACGCCGCGUGGAGGAAGAAGGUUUUCGGAUUGUAAACUCCUGUCGUUAGGGACGAUAAUGACGGUACCUAACAAGAAAGCA